UUCCGGUUGAUCCUGCCGGACCCCACUGCUAUCGGGAUGAGACUAAGACAUGCUAGUCGUGCACCUCCAAGCCACGGUGGAGGCGCGGCGCACAGCUCAGUAACACGUGGCUAACCUACCCUUGGGACGGAAAUAACCCCGGGAAACUGGGGCUAAUUUCCGAUAGGUGAAGAUUCCUGGAAUGGAUCUUCGCCGAAAAGGCGUCUAGACCAUGCUUCUAGGCGCUGCCCAAGGAUGGGGCCGCGGCCGAUCAGGUUGUUGGUGAGGUAACGGCUCACCAAGCCUAUAACCGGUACGGGCCGUGGGAGCGGUAGCCCGGAGAUGGGCACUGAGACAAGGGCCCAGGCCCUACGGGGCGCAGCAGUCGCGAAACCUCCGCAAUACGCGAAAGCGUGACGGGGUCAUCCCGAGUGCCGUCCGCUGAGGAUGGCUUUUCCCCAGUGUAGACAGCUGGGGGAAUAAGGAGAGGGCAAGUCGGGUGUCAGCCGCCGCGGUAAUACCCGCUCUCCGAGUGGUGGGGACGCUUAUUGGGCCUAAAAGCAUCCGUAGCCGGCUGGACAAGUCCCCUGUUUAAAUCCAGCGAUUUAAUCGUUGGACUGCGGGGGAUACUGUCCGGCUAGGGGGCGGGAAAAGGCCGACGGUUAAUUCCGGGGUAGGGGUGAAAAUCCUAUAAUCCCCGGGAGAAC
Molecule: ribosomal RNA, 686 nt
Filed under: uncultured archaeon
Lineage: Archaea
Description: bacterial SSU rRNA
Rfam family: Archaeal small subunit ribosomal RNA
Source: RNAcentral